Long non-coding RNA from Gallus gallus (chicken), 3555 nucleotides. RefSeq lists it as uncharacterized. The transcript has 2 exons. The record is from RefSeq and is a predicted model, not a curated record. Lineage: Eukaryota; Metazoa; Chordata; Aves; Galliformes; Phasianidae.
GCUGUGCACACAGAUCUGGCUCAGAACCUCCCCAUACACCUCAGCCCCACAACACUGCCAAGCCCACUCCAGCACAGCCCCAUCCAGCCUCAGCCUUGCACCAGGACCCCUCCCCCAAACCCCUUUCUGCCCCCUCCAACCCACCCUGCUCUCUCCAGCAAUGCCACGAACCCUUUGGAGAACUCAAAGCCAGCCCUAAACCCUAACUCAACCCUAUAGCCAACCCAAUGCAAAGCAAUGCAUUGCAGCCAAACCCAAAGCCACAGUGCUCACUUUGCACACACCCCAACUUGCUGCCGUCCCCUCGCUCCCAUCCCUUCCCACAAGCCGUGGCCAUGCUUGGAGCACUUCUAACACCACUCCUGGUGCCUCCAAGUGCUUGGCCACCCCCGGUCCCCAUCCCUCACCUGCUGGUCCGACCGCUGGCUCUGGGAUCUCACUGCUGCUCAGUGUCGCUCGAGGAUGGGAAAUGAAGGAGCAGGGGGAGCCCGCGGACAUUUGGGCCGUCAGCUGACACUGCAACAUCUCUGGCAGCGCUCCGCAGUGAGUCAGCCCUGCCCGCCGUUACACAACGAUGAUUCAGAGCUCUGUCGCCAUCUCACGAGAGGUCUUUGAAGACGUGAAGGCUCACAGUGCACACAUUGUGAGUCACUGCCGCUCAGGUGAGAGGAAUUGAAAGCAGAGCCCAAGGACAACUGCCAAGGACUUGCCAGGGUUUGUCCACGUGUGCUCCGCUCACCAGGCAACCUUGGAAACCUCUGGUAAAUUAUCUGAAAUGACUUUUAGCCUUCAUCCUCGAUAUCAAGAUCCUCCCUUUCAUAGCACUGUGUGACGGCUUUGCUUGAAGAGCCUUAACCCUUGGGACAGCGGGAGGGAAAUGCUGUGCAGAGACAGACACCAGCCUGGGGCUGAGGGCAGGACGGGACAUCUGUCCACCCCAGCAAAGGACCCCACGCCCUCCCCACCUCUGCCAUACUGACAUCUGCUACUUCACAUCACAUCCCCAAUAAAGGACCUCAGGACCACAGCCUGAGGAUGCAGCAGUGCUUAGGAUCUGCAGCAGCUUGGAGGAGAACCAAGACUUCAUGCAGAGGCUGCUGUUACACACCCAACGCACAUGAGAUCUGCCUGGAAAAAACAUGUGGAACUCACGAUGCUCGAAGCUCCCCCAGUUACCACAGCCUUACUGCUCUGUGCCAUUCCCCAUUUUGAACAAACGCUUUACAAAGGACCACAGGAAUACCCAUCAACCUGCUGAGCUAAUAAUUACAGUACCCCAAUCCUCAAAGCUGUCCAUCUCUUCCAAACGCAGCUAAACAAGACAACUGCCUCCAUGCACUCCUUAAUGCCACCUAUUCCCAGAACACAGAUUGAAUUUGCAACCCAACACUUGAGCCUGCUGGCUAUUGCACUGAGAUCACCGAGCGUCACAAGGAUCCACGCUGUCUCAUUAGGCUGCCAUGCAGCCCCCAUGCCACCUUCAGGGUUAUACUUAGAACCCACCACCUCCCUGGAGGAGGAUCUAUUUGAUCUGCGUGAGCAAAAGCACUUGGAACAGCCUGUGAGUCCUCAGCAGAAAUAAAAGGUAACAAAUCAUUCGUAAUAAAUUUAUUUUAUAUAUUGGUUUACAGAGCUAAACUGAACAGGUAAUAAACAGCACCAAGCCAAGUGAGAUUUGUUCUACAAAACAAGUUUAAUACAAAAACAUGACUGCAAUGCUCAAUUCCUCACUCUGUAUUUGGAUGGUUAAAAAAAAAAAGUAACUCAAAACCUGCAAACAGUUAAAAAAGGCUUAAUUACAUAGGCACUGGUGUUUGUAAAAGCUUCUGUAACAACAGUGGAGAUCUCAUCACAAUGUUUCAGAAGAAUCAAGGCUGCCUUCGGUUGAUUUCCUAUUUAGUGGUAAGUGACUCGAAGGCAGUUCCUGAGUCUCCUGUCUUGUUCAAACACCUUACAUGUGCGACCAAAAGCAAAAUAUGGGGUAGGAGUGAACUCCCCACAGAACACCUCCCGCGUGACUCACAAGGCCUCCCUGCGUUGUGCUCCUGCAGAGAGCUGCUCUCCCCACUCAUCCUGGCUGAGGAGCAGCACCAGGUAUGCCAGGAGCCCCUGCCACCCUUCAGCAGUGGGAGGCACAGGUGAAACACCCCACUAGAACACAUUGGGGAGGGGGGGGAGAGAUGCAGACUUCACCCUGGGAUGUGGGCAGGGAGUCCACCUUGUGGGUGGCAUCGCCAAUCUGCAAACCUUGCAGGAGGGCUCUGGCUGCCAUCCUAAGCCCAGCUGCCCAGCAGAGCCUGGAGGGGAAGCUCUCCGUGCAGCCAGCAUCAGAGCUGAAUGCAAAAAUCCACAUUCUACUCAAGAAGCCACUAAACCCACCGGUUACACGCAGCCCUGCUGGCUUCUCUGCAGGUUUUGUUAGCUUAGGCCAGAAAUGAAUUCGGUGCCCGCUGUCCCAGUGGUGUUCUGGUCAGCGGUUCGAUGACACUGGGAAGAACAGAUGAACAGUGUUUUUGCCCAGUCUAAGCUGCCACACCCAGGAGAUAUUUUCUUUGAAGAAAACAAAACGAAACAACACCCCCAAAAACAACAACAGUCCUAUGCAGGACACAAAAACAAACUUAACUAACUAGAUGACUGUAGAUACAAAAUACAAUGCCUGCAGCACAGAGGACGGAUCGCUGCUCCUUCUACCUGUUGUGAGGCUACAGGAACAUGGAUUUGGCACCCCCUGACAUGCCAUGCAUUGUACAUCUCUGCUCUGACCCACAGCACACACAUUGCAGCUGCCCAGGAUAAACAAGUACAUUCAGCCCCAAUAGACAUUCCAAAGCUGCUAUUUAAUAGCCCAUGAAGCAAUCCCUUCGGCUGUGGCCACAAGAAAGCGCUUUCUGAAGCCUCCUAUAUCCUUCACUUCCCACCCAAAUUCCCCCCACCCCCCAAGAAAACAUAAAGCACAGAGUCUGCAGACUUAAAAAGUGGAACAGGAUCACAAAUGUUCUCCUCCACACCCCCAACCCAGCCCAAGGCACGUCAGACUGCCCUCCCUCUAUGACUACCUUUGCCUGAUUUUCCUUUUUUCCUAUUUUUUCCCCCCCAUUUUUGAAGGGUGAAGUGGACACAAAUAUUCUCCCUGCUGGCAAGCAGCAAGUGCUCUCAUCGCUAUCUCUGUACUGCUAAAAAACAAACGCUAACAAAACACAUCUUCACUGCCACCCUAACGUUUCCAUGGGAAAUGUCAAUCUCCUUUAAACACGUUCCAUGACGGAUGUUGCCUCCAGUUGGCUUUUGCAGAAUGGAGGUCAAAUUUUAAGAACCAUUGUCAGAGAGAUCUCAGCUCCUUCAAUAUUUAAGUAUGCAUUUUUUUUUUUUUUCCUUUUUAACAAGUUGCUUUAGGCUUGCUUGCCUACAGAAGCUAGAUAUCUGCUGGAAGGUUAACUUUGGUGUGAUUCUAGCUUCCCACCAGCUCAAGCCCAUCUUCUUUCUAAGCCAACAUUAUUGCCCUGAUUUUUUUUUUUGUUUGUAGUACGUAAGAUUUUCAGAAAGAAGAGCAAA